Molecule: ribosomal RNA, 300 nt
Filed under: uncultured Chromatiales bacterium
Lineage: Bacteria; Pseudomonadati; Pseudomonadota; Gammaproteobacteria; Chromatiales
Description: bacterial SSU rRNA
Rfam family: Bacterial small subunit ribosomal RNA
Source: RNAcentral
UGCAUAGGAAUCUGCCCAGUAGCGGGGGACAACGUGUGGAAACGCACGCUAAUACCGCAUACGCCCUACGGGGAAAGCGGGGACCGUUCGGGCCUCGCACUAUUGGAUGAGCCUAUGUCUGAUUAGCUAGUUGGUAGGGUAAAAGCCUACCAAGGCGACGAUCAGUAGCUGGUUUGAGAGAAUGAUCAGCCACACUGGGACUGAGACACGGCCCAGACUCCUACGGGAGGCAGCAGUGGGGAAUAUUGGACAAUGGGCGCAAGCCUGAUCCAGCAAUGCCGCGUGUGUGAAGAAGGCCUG